This 919-nucleotide ribosomal RNA is filed under the name Aspergillus fumigatus. Its description in RNAcentral is "LSU rRNA". It matches the Rfam family "Eukaryotic large subunit ribosomal RNA", at positions 33 to 967 of the family's 3401-position model. Lineage: Eukaryota; Fungi; Ascomycota; Eurotiomycetes; Eurotiales; Aspergillaceae. The record is from RNAcentral.
CUUAAGCAUAUCAAUAAGCGGAGGAAAAGAAACCAACAGGGAUUGCCUCAGUAACGGCGAGUGAAGCGGCAAGAGCUCAAAUUUGAAAGCUGGCCCCUUCGGGGUCCGCGUUGUAAUUUGCAGAGGAUGCUUCGGGUGCAGCCCCCGUCUAAGUGCCCUGGAACGGGCCGUCAUAGAGGGUGAGAAUCCCGUCUGGGACGGGGUGUCUGCGUCCGUGUGAAGCUCCUUCGACGAGUCGAGUUGUUUGGGAAUGCAGCUCUAAAUGGGUGGUAAAUUUCAUCUAAAGCUAAAUACUGGCCGGAGACCGAUAGCGCACAAGUAGAGUGAUCGAAAGAUGAAAAGCACUUUGAAAAGAGAGUUAAACAGCACGUGAAAUUGUUGAAAGGGAAGCGUUUGCGACCAGACUCGCCCGCGGGGUUCAGCCGGCAUUCGUGCCGGUGUACUUCCCCGUGGGCGGGCCAGCGUCGGUUUGGGCGGCCGGUCAAAGGCCCUCGGAAUGUAUCACCUCUCGGGGUGUCUUAUAGCCGAGGGUGCAAUGCGGCCUGCCUGGACCGAGGAACGCGCUUCGGCUCGGACGCUGGCGUAAUGGUCGUAAAUGACCCGUCUUGAAACACGGACCAAGGAGUCUAACAUCUACGCGAGUGUUCGGGUGUCAAACCCGUACGCGCAGUGAAAGCGAACGGAGGUGGGAGCCCCCUCGCGGGGCGCACCAUCGACCGAUCCUGAUGUCUUCGGAUGGAUUUGAGUACGAGCGUAGCUGUGGGGACCCGAAAGAUGGUGAACUAUGCCUGAAUAGGGCGAAGCCAGAGGAAACUCUGGUGGAGGCUCGCAGCGGUUCUGACGUGCAAAUCGAUCGUCAAAUUUGGGUAUAGGGGCGAAAGACUAAUCGAACCAUCUAGUAGCUGGUUCCUGCCGAAGU